RNAcentral lists this unclassified non-coding RNA (198 nucleotides) under uncultured Exobasidium. Its description in RNAcentral is "sequence contains ITS2". Lineage: Eukaryota; Fungi; Basidiomycota; Exobasidiomycetes; Exobasidiales; Exobasidiaceae. The record is from RNAcentral.
GAAUAUCUCCUCUUAUCCAUCUUUUUAACUAAGGAUUGGAUCAAGAGGGUGCUUGGGCUUGCAUUGGAGAUUUUAUCUGUAAAUGCUUGCCUUAAAUGCAUUAGCUGGACUUCAGUAGAGUUGUUAAGUAACAUUGAAAACUCUUGUGAUCGAAGUCUGCUUCUAGUCCAUCUCGAGCAAUCGAGAGUUCAUUUUCAA